AUGGCUCAGGAUGAACGCUGGCGGCGUGCCUAAUACAUGCAAGUCGUACGAGGGAAGUCCAGCUUGCUGGACGGAACGAGUGGCGAACGGGUGAGUAAUACGUAAGCAACCUGCCUGCAAGGACUGGGAUAACACCUGGAAACGGGCGCUAAUACCGGAUAGGUAACAAAGGGGCAUCCCUAUGUUAUUAAAGGUUAGAAACACAAGCAGAUGGGCUUACGGUGCAUUAGCUAGUUGGUGAGGUAACGGCCCACCAAGGCGAUGAUGCAUAGCCGGCCUGAGAGGGUGAACGGCCACAUUGGGACUGUGACACGGCCCAGACUCCUACGGGAGGCAGCAGUAGGGAAUUUUCGGCAAUGGACGAAAGUCUGACCGAGCAACGCCCGCGUGAGUGAAGAAGGUUUUCGGAUUGUAAAGCUCUGUUGUAAGGGAAGAACAGCACGGAAAGAAUCCGUGAAUGACGGUACCUUACCAGAAAGCCACGGCUAACUACGUGCCAGCCGCCGC
This 507-nucleotide ribosomal RNA is filed under the name uncultured bacterium. RNAcentral describes it as "bacterial SSU rRNA". It matches the Rfam family "Bacterial small subunit ribosomal RNA", at positions 19 to 518 of the family's 1533-position model. The record is from RNAcentral.